RNAcentral lists this ribosomal RNA (433 nucleotides) under uncultured bacterium. RNAcentral describes it as "partial 16S ribosomal RNA". It matches the Rfam family "Bacterial small subunit ribosomal RNA", at positions 29 to 507 of the family's 1533-position model. The record is from RNAcentral.
AACGAACGCUGGCGGCAUGCCUAACACAUGCAAGUCGAACGAGACCUUCGGGUCUAGUGGCGCACGGGUGCGUAACGCGUGGGAACCUGCCCUUAGGUUCGGAAUAACUCCACGAAAGGGGUGCUAAUACCGGAUAAUGUCUUCGGACCAAAGAUUUAUCGCCUUUGGAUGGGCCCGCGUUGGAUUAGCUAGUUGGUAGGGUAAAAGCCUACCAAGGCGACGAUCCAUAGCUGGUCUGAGAGGAUGAUCAGCCACACUUGGACUGAGACACGGCCCAGACUCCUACGGGAGGCAGCAGUGGGGAAUAUUGGACAAUGGGCGAAAGCCUGAUCCAGCAAUGCCGCGUGAGUGAUGAAGGCCUUAGGGUUGUAAAGCUCUUUUACCCGGGAUGAUAAUGACAGUACCGGGAGAAUAAGCGCCGGCUAACUCCGUG